Molecule: ribosomal RNA, 464 nt
Filed under: Vreelandella stevensii
Lineage: Bacteria; Pseudomonadati; Pseudomonadota; Gammaproteobacteria; Oceanospirillales; Halomonadaceae
Description: partial 16S ribosomal RNA
Rfam family: Bacterial small subunit ribosomal RNA
Source: RNAcentral
CCUACGGUGGCAGCAGUGGGGAAUAUUGGACAAUGGGCGAAAGCCUGAUCCAGCCAUGCCGCGUGUGUGAAGAAGGCCUUCGGGUUGUAAAGCACUUUCAGUGGGGAAGAAAGCCUUGGGGCUAAUACCCUCGAGGAAGGACAUCACCCACAGAAGAAGCACCGGCUAACUCCGUGCCAGCAGCCGCGGUAAUACGGAGGGUGCGAGCGUUAAUCGGAAUUACUGGGCGUAAAGCGCGCGUAGGCGGUCUGAUAAGCCGGUUGUGAAAGCCCCGGGCUCAACCUGGGAACGGCAUCCGGAACUGUCAGGCUAGAGUGCAGGAGAGGAAGGUAGAAUUCCCGGUGUAGCGGUGAAAUGCGUAGAGAUCGGGAGGAAUACCAGUGGCGAAGGCGGCCUUCUGGACUGACACUGACGCUGAGGUGCGAAAGCGUGGGUAGCAAACAGGAUUAGAUACCCCUGUAGUC